ACAGGCCUAACACAUGCAAGUCGAGCGGAUGACGGGAGCUUGCUCCUUGAUUCAGCGGCGGACGGGUGAGUAAUACCUAGGAAUCUGCCUGAUAGUGGGGGACAACGUUUCGAAAGGAACGCUAAUACCGCAUACGUCCUACGGGAGAAAGCAGGGGACCUUCGGGCCUUGCGCUAUCAGAUGAGCCUAGGUCGGAUUAGCUAGUUGGUGAGGUAAUGGCUCACCAAGGCGACGAUCCGUAACUGGUCUGAGAGGAUGAUCAGUCACACUGGAACUGAGACACGGUCCAGACUCCUACGGGAGGCAGCAGUGGGGAAUAUUGGACAAUGGGCGAAAGCCUGAUCCAGCCAUGCCGCGUGUGUGAAGAAGGUCUUCGGAUUGUAAAGCACUUUAAGUUGGGAGGAAGGGCAGUAAGCUAAUACCUUGCUGUUUGACGUACCGACAGAAUAGCACCGGCAACU
This 461-nucleotide ribosomal RNA is filed under the name uncultured bacterium. Its description in RNAcentral is "bacterial SSU rRNA". It matches the Rfam family "Bacterial small subunit ribosomal RNA", at positions 42 to 501 of the family's 1533-position model. The record is from RNAcentral.